Anas platyrhynchos (mallard) is the source of this 839-nucleotide long non-coding RNA. RefSeq lists it as uncharacterized. NCBI's taxonomy places the organism in Eukaryota, Metazoa, Chordata, Aves, Anseriformes, Anatidae. The record is from RefSeq and is a predicted model, not a curated record.
AGCAUUAAGGCCCAGAAGGUGGAUUAAGGAAGAUGGGCUUCCUAGCCACCCUGCUGAAUGCAGAGGAAACCAUUUCAUGUGGAGAUUACUGUCUGAACCGAAUGAGAGGCGGCACAGGCCUGUGGCUGGAGCAGCUGGGGCUCACGUUCAACCCGUACUGCAGUGCUGCUCAGUGCAAUCUAUCAGCCAGCACCGUCGCUCUUCUUGGGGUCAACCUGCCAUCAGCUGCACUGUGGGUACAUUGAGUACACAGCAGCUUCACCAAGCGCUGCAGAGAUGGACAGCACAGCAGGACAGUACUGCUAAAUUCCCCCUCGGUUUCCACCAACAGUUCCAUUUAUCAUGGAUGAUAGUAAAGCUUAAAAAUAAAUAUCAUUAAUAUUAGCUUAAAUAUAGCUACACAGUUUGCAAAGGUGUGUGUGUUAAGUCCUGUGGCUACAGAGAAUGCUGAAGUCAACAGAUUGUAAAUCAUCCUUCCGUGACCAUUAAAGGAAAUCAUUAAGUUGUUCCUGAGCAGGGGAACUAAUGAAACUCAGUUUCCUAUGGUCUUGAGCACAUUCACUUUUAGACGUUUAAAAAUUAAAUUAUACUACUAUUUUCUAUUCUUGACACAUACCCUAUAAAAUUCCCAUCCAUUCUCAUAUAGCCAUUCUUCUGUCAAAUAUUUUGAUAGCUGCGUGCAAGCUGCCUCAUUUGACUGAUUUGGUGAACAGGAUCAAAAACUUGGCCUUUCCUUGCUCUAGUUUUAAAAAACACAUAGGAAGCUCAUCAUGGUUGAGAUCUCUUGUACUGGUCUGAAACUAAAAGUUUCCUAUAGAUAUAUGCACAGACCGAUGUUG